GGUGGGAUAACUGAGUCAAAUGGUAGUUCCAUUCUUAGUUUUUGAGAAAUUUCCAUACUGCUUUCCAGAGUGAUUGUAUCAAUUUGCAAUCCCACAAGCAAU
This 102-nucleotide microRNA precursor is filed under the name Marmota monax (woodchuck). Lineage: Eukaryota; Metazoa; Chordata; Mammalia; Rodentia; Sciuridae. The record is from RNAcentral.